RNAcentral lists this ribosomal RNA (162 nucleotides) under uncultured bacterium. RNAcentral's name for it is "partial 16S ribosomal RNA". It matches the Rfam family "Bacterial small subunit ribosomal RNA", at positions 1331 to 1500 of the family's 1533-position model. The record is from RNAcentral.
UUCGCUAGUAAUCGCGCAUCAGCCAUGGCGCGGUGAAUACGUUCCCGGGCCUUGUACACACCGCCCGUCAAGCCAUGGAAGCCGGGGGCGCUUGAAGUGCGUUGCCGCAAGGCGCGCCCUAGAGCGAAACCGGUGACUGGGGCUAAGUCGUAACAAGGUACC